This 400-nucleotide unclassified non-coding RNA is filed under the name uncultured fungus. Its description in RNAcentral is "partial contains ITS1, 5.8S rRNA and ITS2". The record is from RNAcentral. Lineage: Eukaryota; Fungi.
AACGCAUAUUGCGCUCGAGGCUUCGGCCAAGAGCAUGUCUGCCUCAGCGUCGGGUUAAUAUCACUGCCAUAAUAAUUAUUAUUAAUAAUUAUUAUCUCGUGCGCAGUGGAUCUGGCCGUUCCAGGGGAGGGGUAAUAAUAGUAUUAAUUGUUAUUAAUCAUUACUAUUAUUAUCCAUAACACUCGUACUGGAUCGGCUGAAGAACAGAGUGCUGACCAAGGACCCUUCAACGGGCCGCAACUGGGUAGGUUCAUUGUGGGCUUGACCUUCGGGGCUCCCACAAUUUAUCAACGCUUAGUUGUUGGUUCUGGGACUUUGCUUGUCUGGCCCUUAACCCAGGAAAAUAUUAUUAACCUAUUUUCUCGACCUGAGCUCAGGCAAGAACUCCCGCUGAACUUAA